AAAAAAAGUCUCUUAUAUUCUUCCCGUUAAACAACGUUACUGAAAUCAUUAAAAAUAAAAGCAGAAUAGUUUACUUUUAUUAAUCAUUUUAAUAUGUUUGUCUGGCUCUCUUCACACUGUACGUGCUUCAUAUUUUAUAUUUAUGUGCACAUUUAUUGACUUUUAAUGAUGAUUUAUUGCAAUUAUCAGACCGCUAUUACACCAUUGCGCAAAUGAUAAUUCCAUGUAACUGUGUACGAUUGUGCUAGCUCAGGUCAAUCUAUUAUUAUACCCAAUCUGCAAAAGACAGCCGAACGGGCUAACAUUACCAAUUUAUACUAUCCAGUGCAAGAGUUCACGCGAGUUUAACGCAGUUUUACUGCCUUAUAAUCAGAAAUUCUAUCGGAAAUGUCUUUUAAAAUAUUUAUCCUAAUUUUAAAAGCACUUUUUACUAACAUUCAGGCGAUAUUUCAACAAUUUAUAAAUUUAGCCCUCCACCGUGACCAUUGCUGUUGUUGAUGUUGGUGCUUUUGGCAGAAUAUUGUUGUUGUUUGGCUGUCACACCGAAAAAUACGCGUAAACAAAACCAGAAGUGUUAAAAAUCACUGAAAUGUAUUUCAGUGUUUUUUCAAGCGGUUUUCGAUUAAUUGUGUUUUCCGCAAAGAACACAUCAUGCAAAAGUCUUUCACGAAGCGAAUUCGAUACAACUCUCAUCUGUAUCGCAAUUGUGAUAAUCUAGAAUGUGAUGACGCAAUUGCAAGUGGAAGUGCUCAUGGUACACAAGACGAACAAAUCGUUGAUAAUAAUGUAUCUUUCGAUGAAGAACUAGGCGAUAAUCAUUUAUCGCAGGAUGCUUCAGGAAAUGAAAUAGCAGAAACAACGGAAAGCGAUGAAAAUGGAACCGACGAUAAUCAUAAUGAUGACGACGAUGUAGUCGAUUGUCUCGUUGAAAGUUCAGACGAAGAGCAGGAAUCGGAACAAUGCAACGAAGUAUUUUCGGUGAGAGAUGCUUCACGUCGUUGGGCCAUAUCAAAAAACCAAACCUACGAAUCAAUCGAGGAAGUUAUGGACAUAAUACGGAAAGUAAGUAACUGCAAGUUGCCGAAAGAUGCCAGAACCCUGCUGAAGACCGACUGCAACCCUUUAACGGAAAUAGUAACGGUACAGGGAGGACAAUAUUGGUAUCAUGGUGUUCAAAAAUGUUUACUAAACGAAUUAAGGUGUUGCCAAUUAUAACGCUCGACACGGCUGUUUGUAGUGUACAACUGUUGGAAAAAGUAUACGCAGAAGAGUUGCGUUUCCGGAUCGAAUUGCUCCAAGUCGUGCCACCUGUUUGCCUAAAAUAUGCAUUAAAUACGAAAACAUUAUCGUUGCAGUAGUGCGGUAUUACAAAACAACUUCGCACCUUUUGCUGACAUCUGCUGAACAGCAACAGAAGUGCUUUGGGUGG
This is a long non-coding RNA of Anopheles funestus (African malaria mosquito), 1429 nucleotides long. RefSeq lists it as uncharacterized. The transcript has 3 exons. The record is from RefSeq and is a predicted model, not a curated record. NCBI's taxonomy places the organism in Eukaryota, Metazoa, Arthropoda, Insecta, Diptera, Culicidae.